CUGCUGUUAUUUUUUAUUUAUUUAUUUUUAUUUUCUUUUUCCCUUUUCCUUUCCUCUAUCAUAUUUCCUUCCCCUUUUGCUAUAGGUUCUGGAACAAAAAGUAACAGUACUUUCAAAACUAUGGGAGACUUCGUAACAUCAGAGAUGGGAAACUAAAAUUUGAGGCUUUGCUGAGGCUGCAGAAACACUGUACAACAUUACGGAAGACAGAGAAUAUAUUCCACGGCCUGAAGGCAGAACUGACACUGAACCUUCUCCACUUUUCUUUGACUAUUUGGCAACAAAAAUUGGCUACUCUUGCAGAAUGUCUGCUGCAUUGGUCAUGUCAGCCAGGAAACGCACAGUCUUCUAACUGAUUAUCAUUAGGUAAUGGGCUGACAUACACAUCCAUGAGGGAGAUGACUAUGAACUGCUGGAGGAAAAAUGAUCAAGAUUGGCCUUGACAUUAGGACAUAUAUGGUAGGUAUUAAUCAACACCAAAUAGAAUUUGAAACGGCAUAUUUGCUCAUAAAACCUGCAAACA
This 523-nucleotide long non-coding RNA is filed under the name Struthio camelus australis. RNAcentral describes it as "lncRNA (ENSSCUG00000006110.1)". The record is from RNAcentral. Lineage: Eukaryota; Metazoa; Chordata; Aves; Struthioniformes; Struthionidae.